CUACGGGAGGCAGCAGUCGAGAAUCUUCGGCAAUGGGCGAAAGCCUGACCGAGCGACGCCGCGUGUGCGACGAAGGCCUUCGGGUUGUAAAGCACUGUCGAGGGGGAGGAAGCCGCAAGGUUGACCUAUCCCUGGAGGAAGGACGGGCUAAGUUCGUGCCAGCAGCCGCGGUAAGACGAACCGUCCUAACGUUGUUCGGAAUCACUGGGCUUAAAGGGCGCGUAGGCGGGCCAUCAAGUCCGGGGUGAAAUACUUCGGCUUAACCGGAGAAUUGCCUUGGAUACUGGUGGUCUAGAGGGAGGUAGGGGUCUGUGGAACUUCCGGUGGAGCGGUGAAAUGCGUUGAUAUCGGAAGGAACGCCGGUGGCGAAAGCGACGGACUGGACCUCUUCUGACGCUGAGGCGCGAAAGCCAGGGGAGCAAACGGGAUUAGAAACCCGUGUAGUCC
This 447-nucleotide ribosomal RNA is filed under the name uncultured bacterium. Its description in RNAcentral is "bacterial SSU rRNA". It matches the Rfam family "Bacterial small subunit ribosomal RNA", at positions 339 to 796 of the family's 1533-position model. The record is from RNAcentral.